This 788-nucleotide ribosomal RNA is filed under the name uncultured Lactobacillus sp. Its description in RNAcentral is "bacterial SSU rRNA". It matches the Rfam family "Bacterial small subunit ribosomal RNA", at positions 28 to 776 of the family's 1533-position model. The record is from RNAcentral. Lineage: Bacteria; Bacillati; Bacillota; Bacilli; Lactobacillales; Lactobacillaceae.
GACGAACGCUGGCGGCGUGCCUAAUACAUGCAAGUCGAGCGAGCUUGCCUAGAUGAAUUUGGUGCUUGCACCAAAUGAAACUAGAUACAAGCGAGCGGCGGACGGGUGAGUAACACGUGGGUAACCUGCCCAAGAGACUAGGAUAACACCUGGAAACAGAUGCUAAUACCGGAUAACAACACUAGACGCAUGUCUAGAGUUUAAAAGAUGGUUCUGCUAUCACUCUUGGAUGGACCUGCGGUGCAUUAGCUAGUUGGUAAGGUAACGGCUUACCAAGGCAAUGAUGCAUAGCCGAGUUGAGAGACUGAUCGGCCACAUUGGGACUGAGACACGGCCCAAACUCCUACGGGAGGCAGCAGUAGGGAAUCUUCCACAAUGGACGCAAGUCUGAUGGAGCAACGCCGCGUGAGUGAAGAAGGGUUUCGGCUCGUAAAGCUCUGUUGGUAGUGAAGAAAGAUAGAGGUAGUAACUGGCCUUUAUUUGACGGUAAUUACUUAGAAAGUCACGGCUAACUACGUGCCAGCAGCCGCGGUAAUACGUAGGUGGCAAGCGUUGUCCGGAUUUAUUGGGCGUAAAGCGAGUGCAGGCGGUUCAAUAAGUCUGAUGUGAAAGCCUUCGGCUCAACCGGAGAAUUGCAUCAGAAACUGUUGAACUUGAGUGCAGAAGAGGAGAGUGGAACUCCAUGUGUAGCGGUGGAAUGCGUAGAUAUAUGGAAAAACACCAGUGGCGAAGGCGGCUCUCUGGUCUGCAACUGACGCUGAGGCUCGAAAGCAUGGGUAGCGAACAGG